AAAAUUUAUUAAAUUUUUAUGAUAUGUCUACUUCUCGAAUUAGAGAAUCGGAAUUUGGAAUUAGAAUUAUUAACAGCGUUUAUUUAGCAAAAUAGAGGCUAGAAUUAAUAUCGAAAUUGUGGGGCCCAACCCAAUUUAGGAAUGGUGAAUGAGAGACUGAUUCCCAAGUGGGGAUGGGAAUUAGUCUCUUAUUCCUAGGAUUUCUCAUUUCCCCCCAUCAAAAUCUCAAAAUUUCAUAGAAUACCCUCAUUAAAUUUAAAAAAAAAGAAAAAAAAAUCAAACUACCACUGACGAAAUCAAUGUCAUCAUUCGCCGUUGGUUGUCGAGCAGCACUAAUAGCGCCGUCGAGCAGCAGUAGUAGCAACAUCGACGAGCAUCAACAACAACAGCAUUGUCGAGCAGCUAUAACAGCAAUGAGAUCCAGUAGUAACAGCUGUUGCUGAUGAUGAUGUUGACGACGAUGAUGAUGCCGACAAUGUCGUUGUUGUUGAUAUGAUGCCGUCGCUGAAAAUUUUGAUGAUGAUUAUUAUUAUUAUUAUUAUUGAUAAAGUUUUUUUUUAUAAUUAGUUAAUAUAUUUUUAACAAUAAUUAUUAAUAACAAUAAUUUUUGAAUAAAUAAUCACAAUUAUUAAAAUACAAAAAUAAUAGUUAUGACAAUAAUUAAUUAAGAACUUUUUAGUAAUUUGUAACAAUCUAACUCAUUCUUAUUCUAAUUUCAAGACAAAGUAAACCCAUUAAUGAUAUUUCAGCUCAUUCUAAUUAUAAUUUCUACAGUUCAAGUAAACAACUUAUUGUGAUUCCUAUUCCGCUUUUGAUUUCUGUGUAUUUCGAUUCUAACAAAUUCUAAUUUCUGUUUAGUAAGCGCACCAUUAAUAUUUAGAACAUUAUUUUUAGGUGCAAACAGAAGUAGCCCUAAGAUAAGUAAAAGGUCUGGGCCUGGGCAUAUAGGUGGAUCAUAUUUUAGCGCAGGUCUUUUUUUUUUUUUUUUUUUUUUUUAAAUAGAUUUUGCUUUAAAAUAUAUGUUUAAUAAAUAAAAAAAGCAUCAAUAUAUCUACAUGCAAUCCCGAUCCUUGAUGAGUACGUAAAUUUAAUCGUAAGUCACACAAUCAAUUGUAACUCUGUCAUCUCACCGCUGCAAAGAUUCGGUAUAGAACUGUUACUGCGUAUUCGGCGAAUAUUAAGCUUUACUAGUUUGUCUUUAGUACGGCAAAGCUUACGUUACAUAUAAUGUAACAAACAACUAAUGAAUAUAGGCCAUUGAUUUUGAUAUUCCUUAAAUCUAAUGGAUAAAAAUAAUUUUAACAUAAAAUAAAGUUCAGGUGAAAUAGAUAUUUAUAGAAAAUUUUAUUUCUAAUCAUAUAUUUACUUAUUUUUUCAAAUAAGUCCUCAUUGAUUUUUUAUAAUUAAAUAAUUUUUUCAUCCAUCUUUUCUACAUUUAUUUUUAAAACUUUAUAAAGUUUUUACAACAUUUUUAUAAAGAUUUAAAUGAUUAUUAUAUUCAUAAAUAUCCACAAAUUUUGAAUAUAUUUUUGCACUUACAUUUAUAAUUUCUUGUCUCUUUUGAGACAUAAACUAAAUUUUUCUUCUAACACACACACACACAUUCAGUCUAUUUUCCUUCUUAAAUACAUAUCAUCAAUGCCAUCACACAUAUUUUGUAAUAUAAAUUUAGUAUCAUGAAUUAUAAGAGAUAUUAUAUGUAAUAAACAUCUUAUAAAUCUAAUGAAUUAUUAAAAAGAUGGUACAAUUAAUAAAUUACCAAAGCCUCUAAUAAAAAGAUUCCAAUUCUUUGAUCUUAUCAAUGAUUCAAACAUGUGGAGAAAUAAUCAAUUAAAUUGAAUGUCACUAUAUUUAUUAAAUAAAUUAGAAAAUCUAAACUUAUCUAUAAAUGAUAUAGAAAUGGUAAACAAAAUAUUAGAAAUUAAUAAUUUCAAUGAAGGAUUAUAAAAUAAAUUAAAAAGUUAAGAGAUCAAGUGAUCAACUAAGUAAAGAAUUUAAUAAAAUUAAACAAUUCAUAAAAGACUUCAACAUUAAAAAUCAUGAUAUAUUAAACCAAGGGAUUAUUAAUAUAAUAAAUAAAAACUCAAUAGAUAUAAAAUUAAACAAGUUAAAGAUUCAAUUAAAUAAAAUAGAAAAAAUUGUUGAGCAGUUUGAUACUAACUUUGCUAUAAAUAUAAAUGAAGAACUUCAAAAAAAUUGAAAUAUUGUAGCUUGGGUGUAAACAACCUGGAGUAUAAACAAUCUGGGGUAUAAUGUAAAAUAUUAAAACUUAUUGACAUUUUUAAUAAUUAUUAUCUUUUUUAAGGGUUUAAAAAUUUAUAGCUGUAACAUACAGCUAAGGUAACAUAAACUUUACCCUUUAGUACCAAUCGAUCGACCACCUAUAAAAUAGCAAACAAGUUAUAUCAGUACACUUCUUAAGUAACCUCUUAAAAAUUUCUAUCUUAAAUAAUGUGACUUUAAUUUAUUUUAUUGAUAAAAUAGUUAAUUAAAUAAUUAACUUAACAAACUAUAGAACUUUAUCAUCCAACUGAUGAGCCGUAAGCAUCAAACUCUCGUGAAUAUAUAGUUUUUCAUAAAGUUUUUAAGCCACUAGGCCAUGCCUGAUAGCAACAUUGUACAUAUAACAAUUAAUGAGACGUGGUAUAUUUUUUAAUUAAAAAAAUUCUUCGAGGAAGAUAUAUAUGCGUGUGUGUAUAUGUAUAGAGAAACAGAGUCCAUUUUCUACAUAAGAUCCCUUACUUUAAUGGGGUAAGGAGUAAGUUAAAAAGAAGAAAAAUAUAAAUUUUAAUACAACAUAAGAUAAAAUACAUAAUAUUGGAAUGUGUGUUAUAAUGUUUAUCUUAUUUUUUGUGGAAAAUUUGCAUUUGAGAAUUUUCAUGUAUACAAAGCAAGUUUAUAAUGAAUGAUCCCCCAUUUUAGUUGAAGUGCAAAAUUCCAAAAUGACCAAUAAAAUUAAUCCUGCACAAGGUACCCACUUUAAUUUAAGAGUGUGUGUGUGUGAUCUCUUAGUAGAAACAUAUACAUAUAUAUGUGUGUGUUUGUGUACGCAAGCUCACAGUGUGUGUGUAAAAGAGUACUUACUUGAGAAAUAUAGACAAUUUGUGUGGAAUGAUAAUUACAGGAGAGAGAUGAUUCCGGUGUGACAAAAGCCAGGGGAGAGAGGUGAAAGGAAUUCAUAUUGUUUUAACUUGGAGAAGAUGAUAGUUGUAGAAGUGAAGAAAAGGAGAUAAUGCCCGCCAUUUUAUAGCCUUAUUCCAAACUGUGGAAUCAUUGUCGCCUUGUAAUUUUUCCUAAGUAGUGCGUUUAUUUUCUAGAUUGGAGAAUUAAAAUAAAAAAUGGGAAUGAUCAAUGAUUUUUACUUGUUAAAAUAAAAGUGGGAAGAAAUGGGAAUAAAAAUGAAAGAUGUGGGGUUCAC
RNAcentral lists this long non-coding RNA (3418 nucleotides) under Citrus maxima (pomelo). Its description in RNAcentral is "long non-coding RNA (CMAX_LNC002289)". The record is from RNAcentral. Lineage: Eukaryota; Viridiplantae; Streptophyta; Magnoliopsida; Sapindales; Rutaceae.